Phyllostomus discolor (pale spear-nosed bat) is the source of this 481-nucleotide long non-coding RNA. RefSeq lists it as uncharacterized. The record is from RefSeq and is a predicted model, not a curated record. The transcript is spliced from 3 exons. NCBI's taxonomy places the organism in Eukaryota, Metazoa, Chordata, Mammalia, Chiroptera, Phyllostomidae.
GUAUCCUCUUUCCUUUCAGCAUGUUUGAAAUUUUUCAAAAUUAAAAGUUAAAAACAAACAGAUGAGCAUCAGAUCCCUAACCAUAUAGAAUAUUAAAAAUUAAGGGGUAUAGGAUUAGGGGAGAUAUCCCAAGAAUUCUCUGUCAGUGGUUUUCCCUGUUUAAUACAUUGGAAUUGGGAGCAGGAAAAAAAAUGAAGGUAAAAAUAAGUAUUUUAAUAAUCCAAGCCACAUGGUACAUAAAAAACUCUUAGAGAACGUGGGAUAUCUUAAAGUUAAGGCUGUUUUUUGCUUAUUCAUAAUAAAUUAAUGGAUAAUUAACUUGCAUUUAAUAUUAAAAGGAAUGACUAUGACUUCCCAAAAGUACAGAGUGUGGUCUGUGAUACUAGGCUUGGUAUUGGCAAUGCUAAAUUGCAGCCACUAUCGUGGACUGUCGGAACGGAAGAGUCUCGUGUCUAGGGCAGUAAUUGGAGCGUAGUACUAG